This 120-nucleotide small nuclear RNA is filed under the name Leptotrombidium deliense. RNAcentral describes it as "U5 spliceosomal RNA". It matches the Rfam family "U5 spliceosomal RNA". From Rfam's summary of the family: U5 RNA is a component of both types of known spliceosome. The record is from RNAcentral. Lineage: Eukaryota; Metazoa; Arthropoda; Arachnida; Trombidiformes; Trombiculidae.
ACGCUCUGGUCUCCCUUCAAAUCCACGAAAUAAUCUUUCGCCUUUUACUAAAGAUUACCGUGGAGGGGGACAUUAAUUUGAGCCUUUAGGCAAUUUUUGGAGCCCUCAGCUUAUGAGGGC